Long non-coding RNA from Hevea brasiliensis (rubber tree), 332 nucleotides. RefSeq lists it as uncharacterized. The transcript has 3 exons. Lineage: Eukaryota; Viridiplantae; Streptophyta; Magnoliopsida; Malpighiales; Euphorbiaceae. The record is from RefSeq and is a predicted model, not a curated record.
AAAUGAUAAGAAUGAUUUGUUGCGUUGCAGCUUCGGUAUAUAAAGCUUCACAUUUUCGAGCAAUAAUGAAACAGAUAAUUAAAGUGCUUGAAGGAACUAUGCCUCAUGUGAAGAUUAUGAAUUGGAAAGACAUCGAAACUCUACAGGGAAGGGCUACUACUAAUCUAGAAUCUGUACUUGGUGUUGAGAGGAUAUAAAUUACUCCAUAGAAAAUCUUUGCUUAUAGAGAACUAGCAAUAGCAACUGGUGGUUUCUCCAACGUCAACCUCCUUGGCGAGGGUGGUUUUGGUCAAGUUUAUAAGGGAACACUUUCAAAUGGUGAAGUUGUUGCA